GGACGCCUACGGGAGGCAGCAGUCGAGAAUCAUUCACAAUGGGGGAAACCCUGAUGGUGCGACGCCGCGUGGGGGAAUGAAGGUCUUCGGAUUGUAAACCCCUGUCAUGUGGGAGAAAAUUAAAAAGAUAGUACCACAAGAGGAAGAGACGGCUAACUCUGUGCCAGCAGCCGCGGUAAUACAGAGGUCUCAAGCGUUGUUCGGACUCACUGGGCGUAAAGCGUGCGUAGGCUGUUUCGUAAGUCGUGUGUGAAAGGCGCGGGAUCAACCCGCGGACGGCACAUGAUAC
RNAcentral lists this ribosomal RNA (289 nucleotides) under uncultured bacterium. RNAcentral describes it as "partial 16S ribosomal RNA". It matches the Rfam family "Bacterial small subunit ribosomal RNA", at positions 333 to 633 of the family's 1533-position model. The record is from RNAcentral.